UACAGAGGUCUCAAGCGUUGUUCGGAUUCAUUGGGCGUAAAGGGUGCGUAGGCGGCGCGGUAAGUCGGGUGUGAAAUCUCGGAGCUUAACUGCGAAACUGCAUUCGAUACUGCCGUGCUUGAGGACUGGAGAGGAGACUGGAAUUUACGGUGUAGCGGUGAAAUGCGUAGAUAUCGUAAGGAAGACCAGUGGCGAAGGCAGGUCUCUGGACAGUUCCUGACGCUGAGGCACGAAGGUCAGGGGAGCAAACGGG
This 253-nucleotide ribosomal RNA is filed under the name uncultured bacterium. Its description in RNAcentral is "partial 16S ribosomal RNA". It matches the Rfam family "Bacterial small subunit ribosomal RNA", at positions 524 to 776 of the family's 1533-position model. The record is from RNAcentral.